This is a non-coding RNA of Python bivittatus (Burmese python), 903 nucleotides long. Lineage: Eukaryota; Metazoa; Chordata; Lepidosauria; Squamata; Pythonidae. The record is from RefSeq and is a predicted model, not a curated record.
UGAAGCGGCUCGUGACGACGAUGUGCAUCGGCGCGCCGGGCAGGAUUUUGUGCCUGUCCCAGAACUCCCCAGGAAUCCGCUCAAGCGGCCUCCUAGACGAAUGGAUCAAACAAGUGACAGACGCUUGGCCCUGACAGACGCCAGGGAGAGAGAGAAAAAACACAGAUUGCGAGCCAUCCCCUGAAGAGGAAAGUGGGAGGCGAAGUGUGCUUAUCAGCGAAGUAUCUCAAUGCUACAACCGUCGAAAAAAUCAGGACCAAAGUUUGUGGGACUUUUACAAUAGAGUCAUUAACCCUGUUACGGUUCGACUACCAGUUGCCUGAGGAUCUUAGGAUUCACCCAGUGUUCCCUUGUAGCCUCUUAAAACCUUACAACGAAUCACCGGGGUGGCACGUGGCACAACCACCCCCAGACCCUAUCACGAUUGAAGGCGGCUCGCACUUUGAAGCCAAGGAGAUUUUAGAUGCCGGAAAACACGAGGAGACGCACAAUUCCUCAUUCAAUGGAAGCAUUUUCCCAAGGCACAACGCGAGUCGCCUUCCGUGAAGUCUGAAACUGAUUUCCCCCCCCAGAGGGGCGGCGUGUCAGAAUCCUCGCGAUCCAUCAAGCCAUCGCCCUGCUAGCUCGCUUGCUUCGUUUCUGCCAUUACAGCGAAGGGGAGGAAGGGAGGUGAACCGUUAGGCGCAGACGGCCUGGUAUCUGGCUCCGCAGGAAUGCCCAGGGUCGUACCAGCGUGAGACCCGGAGAGAAUCGCUGACAUGCACAAGAGAGCUUCAGAGACAGAAGCAGGGGGGUGAAAUGGGAAUGAGGUAAAGCUAAGUUUUGGCACACGCGGGACUCAGUUCCAGCAAUGCUUUAGAGCUGUCUACUACUUUCCAGUAAAUGAACCUUUCUUCGAACCUG